CCUCCCACCCUGCCGCGCGUGCCCGCUUGGGCAGAUGGCGCCGAGCUAAUUAGUCGCGAUGCCCCACACGGGGUUCGGAUCUCCUCACGAGCAGUAUUAUGUCUGUGCACGGCGGCUAGUAUGGCUAGAAGAAGCAGGCGGCAAUCCGCUGGCGAGGUGACAGCCGAAGAGAAGAGGCAUGGAGAUGGAUGGCAGUAGGACACUCGAAGUCCUCCUAGAGUGGAUGAAAAAGAUUCAACUGCUGUCCUGCUGGGCUUCAUGGAAACUCUGAGUUCCCAGGUAUCGGCCAGCCCUGUAUUAGUGACAUGAAGCCAGGGACUACCUUUUACGUCUUCAACAAAAACUUCUUGGUUGAAUUUGAUUCAUCUGUCAUUUGUGAAAUUAAAGACUUAGAAGACAGAGGACCUGGCCAGAAAUUUCUGUUCCGCUCCAGUUGUACAAAAGCCUCUUCCUUCCUGCUUCCAGUGUGUAGAAGCACAGACACAUUGUAUUUAAAAGAUGGCUGCAGGCACAGACCCUGACUCUCUUAAUGCUGUGAGCCUGGCGGAUGCAGCUCUCCCUGCCCACCUGCCUGUAGGGACCAGCCUGCGUCCUCAUCCCCCCCUUCUCUGCAGCGGUCUUCAAAUGGCUACCACAGAGAAGGCAAGAGACCUCCCACAUCUUGUUCAUGUGUAAGCAAGCGCCCUUUCUCGGCUCGCUUCAUGGUCAGAUAUGUUUCCUAAAAAUUGUUUCCUUUCCAGUACGUGGGCUAUGUGGGGGGUUACAUGGUGCAGGGAGUGGCUGAUCGUUGCGGAUAUUCAGGCGAAUUGAUUGUGCCUGGAUAAAACAUCCAGACGUUUUUUGCAAUUGAACUUUCAACCAGAUUGGUUGAAGGCAAAAACUCAAGUCAGAAAGGCCACCAGAACAGGACAGGAACGGGCAAUAGAAGGCUAUAGGGGCAGCAGCAAGUGCUACAUAUUUCUAUCAAGGAAAACCUGGGCUUUUAGGUUCUGCCAAAUGACUCAAAAUUCACUACAGCAAAGCUCCAGAGAUGAAAGAAAGGGCAGCGUUAAGGCUGUUCUACCCGCGGCGGUUUGGUGAAGCUACAGCCAGAAUAAGCCUAGCAGCUCUCCUUUAUUCCAGCGCUCUAUUAAAUGUAAAUGAAGAACCAUCUAAUCUCUGCCAAAAUUAAUUCUGACAUAAGGAAUGAGACCAGUCCUUCAGGCAUCAUUAGGA
Molecule: long non-coding RNA, 1215 nt
Organism: Arvicola amphibius (Eurasian water vole)
Lineage: Eukaryota; Metazoa; Chordata; Mammalia; Rodentia; Cricetidae
Exons: 3
Source: RefSeq, a predicted model, not a curated record